Corticium candelabrum is the source of this 209-nucleotide long non-coding RNA. RefSeq lists it as uncharacterized. The record is from RefSeq and is a predicted model, not a curated record. Lineage: Eukaryota; Metazoa; Porifera; Homoscleromorpha; Homosclerophorida; Plakinidae. The transcript is spliced from 3 exons.
CCUUUCCUAGACUUACAGCGCGCGAAAUUGCGCUCAAGCAGGAAAUCAGCGUGUGCGGGGUUCGUGUUGUGUACACCGAAUCCGAACCGAAGUUGAGAAAAGUAUAUACGGGCUCUGCCAACGUAGCCCCUUAUCCGGAAUCCAUGCAGAUUUCUACUGAAGUUCACUCUGCGAGAAUCGCGCGCAACGUCAGCAACUUACUCAGAACC